Molecule: ribosomal RNA, 253 nt
Filed under: uncultured bacterium
Lineage: Bacteria
Description: partial 16S ribosomal RNA
Rfam family: Bacterial small subunit ribosomal RNA
Source: RNAcentral
UACGAAGGGUGCAAGCGUUACUCGGAAUUACUGGGCGUAAAGGGCGCGUAGGUGGUUUGUUAAGUCUGCUGUGAAAUCCCCGGGCUCAACCUGGGAAUGGCAGUGGAUACUGGCAAGCUAGAGUGCGGUAGAGGGUAGUGGAAUUCCCGGUGUAGCAGUGAAAUGCGUAGAGAUCAGCAGGAACACCCGUGGCGAAGGCGGCCCCCUGGGCCGAACCUGACGCUGAGGCGCGAAGGCUAGGGGAGCGAACGGG